This 445-nucleotide ribosomal RNA is filed under the name uncultured bacterium. Its description in RNAcentral is "partial 16S ribosomal RNA". It matches the Rfam family "Bacterial small subunit ribosomal RNA", at positions 354 to 796 of the family's 1533-position model. The record is from RNAcentral.
GUGGGGAAUAUUGGACAAUGGGCGCAAGCCUGAUCCAGCCAUGCCGCGUGCAGGAAGACGCAUCUAUGGUGUGUAAACUGCUUUUGUACGGGAAGAAACACUCCCUCGUGAGGGAGCUUGACGGUACCGUAAGAAUAAGGAUCGGCUAACUCCGUGCCAGCAGCCGCGGUAAUACGGAGGAUCCAAGCGUUAUCCGGAAUCAUUGGGUUUAAAGGGUCCGUAGGCGGUUGAAUAAGUCAGUGGUGAAAGCCCAUCGCUCAACGAUGGAACGGCCAUUGAUACUGUUAGACUUGAAUUACAAGGAAGUAACUAGAAUAUGUAGUGUAGCGGUGAAAUGCUUAGAUAUUACAUGGAAUACCAAUUGCGAAGGCAGGUUACUACUUGUGGAUUGACGCUGAUGGACGAAAGCGUGGGGAGCGAACAGGAUUAGAAACCCUGGUAGUCC